CUCCUACGGGAGGCUGCAGUGGGGAAUAUUGGACAAUGGGGGCAACCCUGAUCCAGCAAUGCCGCGUGUGUGAAGAAGGCCUUCGGGUUGUAAAGCACUUUUAUCCGGAACGAAACGUGCGGGGUGAAUAGCCUCGUAAACUGACGGUACCGGAGGAAUAAGCACCGGCUAACUUCGUGCCAGCAGCCGCGGUAAUACGAAGGGUGCAAGCGUUACUCGGAAUUACUGGGCGUAAAGGGUGCGUAGGUGGUUUUUUAAGUCUGCUGUGAAAUCCCCGGGCUCAACCUGGGAAUGGCAGUGGAUACUGGAAAGCUGGAGUGCGGUAGAGGGUAGUGGAAUUCCCGGUGUAGCAGUGAAAUGCGUAGAGAUCGGGAGGAACACCAGUGGCGAAGGCGGCUACCUGGACCAGCACUGACACUGAGGCACGAAAGCGUGGGGAGCAAACAGGAUUAGAUACCCUGGUAGUCCACGCCCUAAACGAUGCGAACUGGAUGUUGGGUGCAACUUGGCACUCAGUAUCGAAGCUAACGCGUUAA
This 536-nucleotide ribosomal RNA is filed under the name uncultured bacterium. RNAcentral describes it as "bacterial SSU rRNA". It matches the Rfam family "Bacterial small subunit ribosomal RNA", at positions 336 to 863 of the family's 1533-position model. The record is from RNAcentral.